AACAUCUGGAAACGGAUGCUAAUACCGUGAUAUUAUGGUUUUUUCGCAUGGAGGAAUCAUGAAAGCUAGAUGCGCUAAGAGAGAGUCUUUGCGUCCCAUUAGCUCGUUGGUGAGGUAACGGCCCACCAAGGCAAUGAUGGGUAGCCGGCCUGAGAGGGUGAACGGCCACUAGGGGACUGAUACACGGCCCUUACUCCUACGGGAGGCGGCAGUUGGGGAAUAUUGGACAAUGGACCACAAGUCUGAUCCAGCAAUUCUGUGUGCACGAUGACGUUUUUCGGAA
RNAcentral lists this ribosomal RNA (283 nucleotides) under uncultured bacterium. Its description in RNAcentral is "partial 16S ribosomal RNA". It matches the Rfam family "Bacterial small subunit ribosomal RNA", at positions 145 to 423 of the family's 1533-position model. The record is from RNAcentral.